Molecule: ribosomal RNA, 449 nt
Filed under: uncultured bacterium
Lineage: Bacteria
Description: partial 16S ribosomal RNA
Rfam family: Bacterial small subunit ribosomal RNA
Source: RNAcentral
AGCGAACGCUGGCGGCAGGCCUAACACAUGCAAGUCGAACGAACUCUUCGGAGUUAGUGGCGGACGGGUGAGUAACACGUGGGAACGUGCCUUUAGGUUCGGAAUAACUCAGGGAAACUUGUGCUAAUACCGAAUGUGCCCUUCGGGGGAAAGAUUUAUCGCCUUUAGAGCGGCCCGCGUCUGAUUAGCUAGUUGGUGAGGUAAAGGCUCACCAUGGCGACGAUCAGUAGCUGGUCUGAGAGGAUGAUCAGCCACAUUGGGACUGAGACACGGCCCAAACUCCUACGGGAGGCAGCAGUGGUGAAUCUUGCGCAAUGGGCGAAAGCUUGACGCAGCCAUGCCGCGUGAAUGAUGAAGGUCUUAGGAUUGUAAAAUUCUUUCACCGGGGACGAUAAUGACGGUACCCGGAGAAGAAGCCCCGGCUAACUUCGUGCCAGCAGCCGCCGUAA